UGUGGUUUGUAUUUAAGUUUGUUUAAGCUUGAUUAGUAUAUAUAAAGCUUGUACGAUGUGUAUUUCAAUUUUAUCAGACUCUAUAUAAAUAUGUUUUUAUAAAUAAAGCUCAUUUUCUCUUUAUAUUACUAUUUUUAAUUACAUUUUAAGUUUGUUUAUAUUACUAUUCAUUACUGUUCAUUAUACUGUAGCUAAUUACUAUAGCAUAUAUGCACUGUACAGUACUAUAGUAGAAAUACUCUGCAGUACUUUGCACACUAUAGUAUGUUAGUGUAGCAUAAUGGUAAACAAUCAGAAUGCUACUG
Molecule: long non-coding RNA, 305 nt
Filed under: Elaeis guineensis (African oil palm)
Lineage: Eukaryota; Viridiplantae; Streptophyta; Magnoliopsida; Arecales; Arecaceae
Description: long non-coding RNA (EGUI_LNC035913)
Source: RNAcentral